Regulatory RNA element from Ramlibacter tataouinensis TTB310, 68 nucleotides. It matches the Rfam family "ilvH RNA". NCBI's taxonomy places the organism in Bacteria, Pseudomonadati, Pseudomonadota, Betaproteobacteria, Burkholderiales, Comamonadaceae. The record is from Rfam.
GACGAAUCUAUUGGCUGCCAAGCCUGCCGCUUACCGGCGGCGGGGGAGGGCACCGAAAAGAGGAAUCG